Podarcis lilfordi (Lilford's wall lizard) is the source of this 129-nucleotide non-coding RNA. The record is from the annotation of a GenBank genome assembly. NCBI's taxonomy places the organism in Eukaryota, Metazoa, Chordata, Lepidosauria, Squamata, Lacertidae.
AACUAAGUUUGUUCUGGGUAUAAGUUUUCAUGUGCAUGCACACUUCUUCAGAUACUUCUGACAAUUCUUCAGGUAUCUGAAGAAGUGUGCACGCACACGAAAGCUUAUACCCAGAACAAACUUAGUUGG